This 742-nucleotide ribosomal RNA is filed under the name uncultured archaeon. RNAcentral's name for it is "bacterial SSU rRNA". It matches the Rfam family "Archaeal small subunit ribosomal RNA", at positions 44 to 792 of the family's 1478-position model. The record is from RNAcentral.
CUAAGCCAUGCGAGUCAUUGUAGCAAUACAAGGCAGACGGCUCAGUAACGCGUAGUCAACCUACCCUAUGGACGGGAAUAACCUCGGGAAACUGAGAAUAAUGCCCGAUAGAACAUUAUGCCUGGAAUGGCUUUUGUUCCAAAUGAUUUAUCGCCGUAGGAUGGGACUGCGGCCUAUCAGUUUGUUGGUGAGGUAAUGGCCCACCAAGACUAUUACAGGUACGGGCUCUGAGAGGAGUAGCCCGGAGAUGGGUACUGAGACACGGACCCAGGCCCUAUGGGGCGCAGCAGGCGAGAAAACUUUGCAAUGUGCGAAAGCACGACAAGGUUAAUCCGAGUGGUUUCUGCUAAAGGAACCUUUUGACAGUCCUAGAAACACUGUUGAAUAAGGGGUGGGCAAGUUCUGGUGUCAGCCGCCGCGGUAAAACCAGCACCUCAAGUUGUCAGGAUGAUUAUUGGGCCUAAAGCAUCCGUAGCCGGCUCUGUAAGUUUUCGGUUAAAUCUGUACGCUCAACGUACAGGCUGCCGGGAAUACUGCAGGGCUAGGGAGUGGGAGAGGUAGACGGUACUCUGGAGGAAGUGGUAAAAUGCUUUGAUCUCUAGAUGACCACCUGUGGCGAAGGCGGUCUACCAGAACACGUCCGACGGUGAGGGAUGAAAGCUGGGGGAGCAAACCGGAUUAGAUACCCGGGUAGUCCCAGCUGUAAACUAUGCAAACUAAGUGAUGCAUUGGCUUGUGGCCA